This 89-nucleotide microRNA precursor is filed under the name Otolemur garnettii (small-eared galago). Its description in RNAcentral is "miRNA (ENSOGAG00000022132.1)". Lineage: Eukaryota; Metazoa; Chordata; Mammalia; Primates; Galagidae. The record is from RNAcentral.
UAAGGUGACCCGUUAUUCUGGUUUGCCUGGGACGGAGGCAGCGCUGAGUUCUAAAACCUGGGAAGUCCUUGACAAACCAGGCUGAGUUG